GAUGAAGAACGUAGUGAAAUGCGAUAAGUAGUGUGAAUUGCAGAAUUCAGUGAAUCAUCGAAUCUUUGAACGCACAUUGCGCCCCUUGGUAUCCCGAGGGGCAUGCCUGUUCGAGCGUCAUUUCACCACUCAAGCCUGGCUUGGUGUUGGGCGACGUCCCCUUUGGGGACGCGCCUCGAAACGCUCGGCGGCGUGGCACCGGCUUUAAGCGUAGCAGAAUCUUUCGCUUUGGAAGUCGGGGCCACGCCUGCCGGAAUACCUACUUGUAAGGUUGACCUCGGAUCAGGCAGGGAUACCCGCUGAACUUAAGCAUAUCAAUAAGCGGAGGA
RNAcentral lists this unclassified non-coding RNA (329 nucleotides) under soil metagenome. RNAcentral describes it as "partial contains 5.8S ribosomal RNA, internal transcribed spacer 2, and large subunit ribosomal RNA". The stretch from base 1 to 120 matches the Rfam family "5.8S ribosomal RNA", at positions 35 to 154 of the family's 154-position model. The record is from RNAcentral.